GAAAUGCGAUAAGUAAUGUGAAUUGCAGAAUUCAGUGAAUCAUCGAAUCUUUGAACGCAUAUUGCGCCCGCCAGCACUCUGGCGGGCAUGCCUGUCCGAGCGUCAUUUCAACCAUCAAGCCCCCGGGCUUGUGUUGGGGACCUGCGGCUGCCCGCAGGCCCUGAAAACCAGUGGCGGGCUCGCUGUCACACCGAGCGUAGUAGCAAUCACCUCGCUCAGGGCGUGCUGCGGGUUCCGGCCGUUAAACAGCCUUACAAAACCCAAGGUUGACCUCGGAUCAGGUAGGAAGACCCGCUGAACUUAAGC
Molecule: unclassified non-coding RNA, 306 nt
Filed under: plant metagenome
Description: partial contains 5.8S ribosomal RNA, internal transcribed spacer 2, and large subunit ribosomal RNA
Rfam family: 5.8S ribosomal RNA (bases 1-105)
Source: RNAcentral